This 253-nucleotide ribosomal RNA is filed under the name uncultured bacterium. RNAcentral describes it as "partial 16S ribosomal RNA". It matches the Rfam family "Bacterial small subunit ribosomal RNA", at positions 524 to 776 of the family's 1533-position model. The record is from RNAcentral.
UACGAAGGGGGCUAGCGUUGCUCGGAAUCACUGGGCGUAAAGCGCACGUAGGCGGCUUCUUAAGUCAGGGGUGAAAUCCUGGAGCUCAACUCCAGAACUGCCUUUGAUACUGAGAAGCUUGAGUCCGGGAGAGGUGAGUGGAACUGCGAGUGUAGAGGUGAAAUUCGUAGAUAUUGGGAAGAACACCGAUGGCGAAGGCAGCCAUCUGGACCGACACUGACGCUGAGGCGCGAAAGCGUGGGGAGCAAACAGG